This 481-nucleotide long non-coding RNA is filed under the name Brassica napus (rape). Its description in RNAcentral is "long non-coding RNA (BNAP_LNC005708)". Lineage: Eukaryota; Viridiplantae; Streptophyta; Magnoliopsida; Brassicales; Brassicaceae. The record is from RNAcentral.
AAAACAGUCUUGUACCUUAGAAAGUCACAAAAUAAAUCCAAAACAAUCAUUUUGGAGAAUUUUUUUACUUUGUUGGGUUUCAAUUUGUAAGUUAGUUCAUUCGAAAUACAAAAAUAUUACGUAUAAGUUAGCAUAACCUACCGAUACUAAAAACUAACCUAUACGUUACACAGAAGCGUCCAUGGACGGGCGAUUCCCGCUUCUUAACCAGAGUCGGAUACGGGUGUGGAAACGUCCGAAAGCUUGAGAGAAGCACGACUCUAGAAUACCUGAGUUCGGAAGCGCAUUUGAAGCGAAUGCUUCCAACUUAGAAGCGUGUUGUCGUAAAAUUGGAAGCGUUAAAAGUCGUUCGAAUGGAAAAUAAUUAAAGUGUUUCAAUAUUGACAGAUGAUAUAACUGAAGAGACAAAGACAAAAAUAUUGUUGAAAAAAAAUCAAAGCUAAACGAAGUUUCAAUGGUGGAUGGAUCUCUGCAACUCGGG